ACUCCUACCGGGAGGCAGGCAGGUGGGGAAUAUUGGACAUCAAUAGGGGGAAAGGCCCAUCGAUGCAGCAACGACCGCCGUGGGAGGAUGACACAUUUCGGUGCGUAAACUCCUUUUAUAUAGGAAGAUAAUGACGGUACUAUAUGAAUAAGCGCCGGCUAACUCCGUGCCAGCAGCCGCGGUAAUACGGAGGGCGCAAGCGUUACUCGGAAUCACUGGGCGUAAAGAGCGUGUAGGCGGAUAGAUAAGUCAGGAGUGAAAUCCUAUGGCUCAACCAUAGAACUGCUCUUGAAACUGUCAAUCUAGAGUAUGGGAGAGGUAGAUGGAAUUUCUGGUGUAGGGGUAAAAUCCGUAGAGAUCAGAAGGAAUACCGAUUGCGAAGGCGAUCUACUGGAACAUAACUGACGCUGAGACGCGAAAAGCGUGGGGAGCAAACAGGAUUAGAUACCCUGGUAGCUUACGAGU
This 465-nucleotide ribosomal RNA is filed under the name uncultured bacterium. RNAcentral describes it as "bacterial SSU rRNA". It matches the Rfam family "Bacterial small subunit ribosomal RNA", at positions 335 to 803 of the family's 1533-position model. The record is from RNAcentral.